RNAcentral lists this ribosomal RNA (463 nucleotides) under uncultured bacterium. RNAcentral's name for it is "partial 16S ribosomal RNA". It matches the Rfam family "Bacterial small subunit ribosomal RNA", at positions 30 to 507 of the family's 1533-position model. The record is from RNAcentral.
CGAACGCUGGCGGCGUGCUUAACACAUGCAAGUCGAACGGAAAGGCCCCUUUGGGGGUACUCGAGUGGCGAACGGGUGAGUAACACGUGAGUAACCUGCCCUUGACUUCGGGAUAACUUCAGGAAACUGGGGCUAAUACCGGAUAGGAAUCCUUGCUGCAUGGUGGGGGUUGGAAAGCUUCGGCGGUUUUGGAUGGACUCGCGGCUUAUCAGCUUGUUGGUGGGGUAGUGGCUUACCAAGGCUUUGACGGGUAGCCGGCCUGAGAGGGCGACCGGCCACAUUGGGACUGAGAUACGGCCCAGACGCCUACGGGAGGCAGCAGUGGGGAAUAUUGCACAAUGGGCGGAAGCCGGAUGCAGCAACGCCGCGUGCGGGAGGACGGCCUUCGGGUUGGAAACCGCUUUCAGCAGGGGCGAAGCUUGUGGUGACGGUACCUGCAGAAGAAGCACCGGCUAACUACGUG